This is a long non-coding RNA of Hypanus sabinus (Atlantic stingray), 1634 nucleotides long. RefSeq lists it as uncharacterized. The transcript has 3 exons. The record is from RefSeq and is a predicted model, not a curated record. NCBI's taxonomy places the organism in Eukaryota, Metazoa, Chordata, Chondrichthyes, Myliobatiformes, Dasyatidae.
GCCAUGGCGGAGAUCAGCGAGUCGCUUCUGUCGGUGUCGCCGGCCUCGGCGCCCACAAGGACGGGUGUGAUUCCCCUUCGCGCCUCGGUGGGUCUGUUUCGGUGACGGCUGUGGUGGCUGACGAAACAUGCUUUGACAGGGAGCGAGCGAGGACAAUGACUACAACUCCCAGAAGGCCCCACUGAUGACGUUGUGGUGUUGUUCAGGGAUCGUUGAUAUAGAUGGUAAACAACAACGGAUCCAGCACCGAUCGCUGCGGCACUCCACUGGUCACAGGCCUUUAUUCAGAGAGGAGACCAUCUAAUACCGCACUCUGGCUUCUCACACAAAGCAAAUGUGGCUGAGUCGGCGGAUCUGAGGGCUGCAAAGGUGGUCACAGCCGAAGGGUGGUAGUGGGGACGAGUUCCCCCGACUAAACAAAUGCUCUUCAUGGCGCGCGUUUCAAACAGCUUCUGACAACCAGAUCCGACUCCUGGCCUUCACGUGGCGGAGCUGUUCUCACCGACAGGAGAAGAGGCAAAGGAGGGCCACUGGCGCCUUAAAACCAGUUGUCCCGGGCAGAUGGGGCUCGUUAACCACGGAUGGUUGCUCAUCUGGGAGAGGGAUAACUCCGAUUUCAAACCUCCGCUUCCACUAGCGGUGUUACCUGUUCAAGGUGUGGGUCAACUGACCCCAUUAACCCACGUAUUAUUUCAGACGGUCCCUCGUGUCUUUGGAGCCAUUCUGCUCUCUACAAACCGCUGUAACAGUGUGAGUGACAAUAAAUGAAACCAUUAGAAAUGUCCGUGACUAGAACAGGCAUGGGCAAAGUACGGCCAUAUGCGGCCCGUUAAGCUUUUUAAUCCGGCCCGCAGAACUUGAUGAAAUUAUUUUAAUAAACCUUGUUAACGUUUUUUUUCCCGCAAUUCUGGCGUUUUUCCAAUAGAUUACGCACUCUAUAUACAUUGACCUUUGUUGAGGUGCAGCGUAUUACUCCACAUUUGCGCUUUACUCUUUGUUCGGCUCGACCUAUUUGUGUGAACAGGCGUUCAGCGUCAUGAACAUCAACAAAGCCAGCCACAGAUCCAAGUUAACUGACCAACACCUCAGAUCCAUCCUGAGAAUCGCCACAACAAAACUAAAUCCGGACUUUGAUGCGCUGGCUAGAAAGGGAGAUCAACAACACUGUUCCCACUGAAAUUAAAAAUAAAUUUCGUCGUUGUGUUAUGUAAAAGAUGCAUUUGAAAAUAUUUUUUUUCAAUAAGCCUUACAUGUUACAUGUCAUUUCUGUUAAGUGAUGGACAUGAGUAGUGUGCAGGUGCACGUACGUUCUCAAAAUAAAAAAUGCGCUCCAGAUCAAAUAACACGCUCCGCAAACUGGCGCUCUGUCACUGUCCUGUCUUUGUGCUGGUCGUUGUUGAGUUUUGGCACAGGGGACAAUUGAAUAAGAAGGAGCAGGACAAGUAGACCUGCAUCUCCUACCGUUUUUGUAAUAAAGACAGUCAGGAGGAGAGUGAUGAUGAUAUCUUGAAGGAUAACAGAAUUUUCAGUGCUUUAAAAUAAUAACUUACUAUUAAAAAGCUGUAUUUUAUUCAUUUAAUUUUCAGUGUUUUAAAAGUUAUUUCAAUAAGUAGCUAAAUACCAUGGGACUUCAA